Molecule: ribosomal RNA, 484 nt
Filed under: uncultured bacterium
Lineage: Bacteria
Description: partial 16S ribosomal RNA
Rfam family: Bacterial small subunit ribosomal RNA
Source: RNAcentral
AUUGAACGCUGGCGGCAGGCCUAAUACAUGCAGGUCGAGCGGACGAAGGGAGCUCGCUCCUGGAUUCCGUGGGGGACGGGCGAGUAAUGCCCACGAAUCUGCCCGGCCUUGGGGGCUAACGUCCCUUCACGGGCGCUAAUAUCGCACCCGUUCAGAUGUCGAACGUGGGGGUUCUUUGGACAUAGAGCUUUUUGCUGUGCCUAGGUCGGAUUAGCUAGUUGGUAGGGUAAAGGCCUACCAAGGCGACGAUCCGUAACUGGUCUGAGAGGCUGAUCAGUCACACUGGAACUGAGACACGGUCCAGACUCCUACGGGAGGCAGCAGUGGGGAAUAUUGGACAAUGGGCGAAAGCCUGAUGCAGCCAUGCCGCGUGAGUGAAGAAGGUCUUCGGAUCGUAAAGCUCUGUUAGUAGGGAAGAAGAGCAGUGAGAGUAAACCUUGAUGUUUUGACGGUACCAACAGAGAAAGCCCCGGCUAACUACGUG